Molecule: ribosomal RNA, 808 nt
Filed under: uncultured bacterium
Lineage: Bacteria
Description: bacterial SSU rRNA
Rfam family: Bacterial small subunit ribosomal RNA
Source: RNAcentral
AGAGUUUGAUCCUGGCUCAGAACGAACGCUGGCGGCGUGCUUAACACAUGCAAGUCGAACGUGAUUGAGAGCUUGCUCUCAUGAAAGUGGCGCACGGGUGAGUAACACGUGGAUAAUCUGCCUGGCGAUUCGGGAUAACACUUCGAAAGGGGUGCUAAUACCGGAUAAGCCCACGGUCUCUUUGGAGAGUGCGGGAAAAGGGGGCCUCUGUAUAUGCUCCUGUCGCUAGAUGAGUCCGCGGCCCAUUAGCUAGUUGGUAGGGUAAUGGCCUACCAAGGCGACGAUCCGUAGCUGGUCUGAGAGGACGACCAGCCACACUGGAACUGAGGCACGGUCCAGACUCCUACGGGAGGCAGCAGUGGGGAAUUUUGGACAAUGGGGGCAACCCUGAUCCAGCCAUUCCGCGUGAGUGAAGAAGGCCUUCGGGUUGUAAAGCUCUUUCAGCAGGAACGAAACGGUGGCCCCUAAUACGGGCUACUAAUGACGGUACCUGAAGAAGAAGCACCGGCUAACUACGUGCCAGCAGCCGCGGUAAUACGUAGGGUGCGAGCGUUAAUCGGAAUUACUGGGCGUAAAGCGUGCGCAGGCGGUUAUGUAAGACAGGUGUGAAAUCCCCGGGCUUAACCUGGGAACUGCGCUUGUGACUGCAUAACUUGAGUGUGGCAGAGGGGGGUGGAAUUCCACGUGUAGCAGUGAAAUGCGUAGAGAUGUGGAGGAACACCGAUGGCGAAGGCAGCCCCCUGGGUCAACACUGACGCUCAUGCACGAAAGCGUGGGGAGCAAACAGGAUUAGAUACCCUGGUAGUCC